GAAGAAUUAUUUAGUAAGUGAGUUGUUGUGUUAUUGUGCUACCUGGGGAAAUCCUUGAUCCUUCCUCUUCUGUCACGACAGAGUUUUCACGUUGAGCCCUCAACACUUUCACUUGAGGCAAUGCCUACUCUCGCAAUAUAAGGAAAAGGACAGGGCGAAGGAUGGAUGCCGGUCUCUCCGCAACAACUGCUGCUGCUGCUGAUGUCUCAAGUUUGAACAUGUUUGAUAUUAAUGGUGAUCCAUCCAUCCAUCCAUGAGACCUUUCGUCUGUACUGGAGAAAGAUAUAAAACCAAGCACAUCAGAAGACUCGUACCACCAGCACUCAAGUUUUUAAGAGAAAAAGUCGAGAGGUUCAUGUUCGAGCGAACUUUGUGUUAAAUUUAGGGCAGAUUAUCCAACGACCAGCCACUUAUUUUAUUGUGGAGAAGGGAUCAUAGACGGCGAAAUUUUGGCGACUUCUUGUAUACACAUACUGCUGUCAUUGGAUGGGAUGUACGGACUAAAGCAUUUCUUUAUUGGAGUACAAGAAGCCAGCCAAAGAGCGACCAACCUGCAAUAAUGUAGCUUCUGCCCUCUUUAUGAGGGUCUUCCAUGCAACCAUGUUUUGCUUUUUGCAUCGUUACCCCUGAUGUUGUCAGAACCAGAUCGUGUCUGUUUGUUUUAAGCAUGGCAGGAGAGGAUUCCUUGUUUUCCAUUGUCCGGAAGCCUAUGCAUAAUAAAAACAAAAUGACAGACGUUCUUCUCCGUCCCACGCUGACUUUUUAUGCAACAUAAAACACUGAAGGAUAUUACGUUCAGGAGUUAAACCACCAUCAUCAUCAUGAAAGGGAAAUGAAGGUCGCCUAAAUCAGGGACUUAAUUUUCCGAGGUGGACUAUCUGUUUGUCACUAAAACUGCACACUCGAGUGAUUGCCACUGUGUCAGCAGUCCAUCGUGCUGACGGGACUUUCAUCGGCGUAUGAGCAGAUUCGGGACAAAACGUUGCCAAUGGGAUAUUUAUUGGACCUGCCAAGCUGACAGCGAAUGAUAAGGAUGGAAUAACUCACAAGAGGAAUUAGACAGUGUCACGAGGGGACUCUAUCAACUGGCAGCAGUUGGCAGCGCGAUAACGCCUACCACAAACUCGGAAUGGAUUAUUUGGAGGUGUGUUGGAUUGUUGGAUGCUCAGUAAUCCGUGAAGCAUACUGAGAACGCACGCAUCCAUCUUCAUCCCGGCCAAAGGCAGCUUUUGGAAUUUACAACAGUAAAUAUGUAUCCAGCAAGCCAUUGACAGUCGUUAUGCAUAGAUAUUCCUGAUAGUCGACGUGACGUGGGAUACGGAACCUGGCCCAAAAGUUGAACUGACAUUGAUUUAAUCAGCUUUGCUCUCCACCUUUCAUCGUCGCCACAACAUUUCAUAUAAGGACUAGGUAACCAAGAAGCAGGUCCACUUCCACAAUGAUACAUGUACUCCGUCCGUCCGAGUUUCAAGCACUUUGUCCAGCUUUCACUCUGCUCGGUAUCCCAUUGAGAACUCGCAAAACUCAACCCCGAUCUCGCUGCUGCUAUAAACUCCACCCGGACUGACACUAUUCGCUAUAAAUGUUGACAGCCAAACGUAUUUCUCGAUUGUUCAUCACCUCGGAAUAAUGAGAUGCAAGGAUAGUGUGUGUUGCCUUUAUUUGGUGUGUGGCAUUAAAUCAAGUCUCGUGAGGAUUCUGGAAAUUAUCACGAUUCGUGGGCCACAAACUAUAGUACACAGUAGCGUUACUUUUACUUGCAUUGUGUGUUUAUCUGCUGUGUAAUAAUGUAAAUUGCACAAAUUAUUAUAAAACUUAGCCAGACUCAAUGGGAUUCGAAUCCCAAAAUUCCGGAUUCGUGCACAAGACUCUUAUGGACUGGCCGGAUUAGGAAUGCCAAAAUGUCAGACUCGCAUUCCUCAAAAAUAUGGAUUCGGAUUCGUCGGAGCACUAAUUUAUGUAUUGUUUGUUGUUUUCUAAAAAUUACUUUUAUUAAUAAUACCAUAUUUUAGAUUAAAGUAGUUUUUAGUUGUAACACAAUAUGUAACAUGAGUAUCAAUAUAAAUAAAAAAUAUUACACAUA
Folsomia candida is the source of this 2083-nucleotide long non-coding RNA. RefSeq lists it as uncharacterized. The record is from RefSeq and is a predicted model, not a curated record. The transcript is spliced from 10 exons. NCBI's taxonomy places the organism in Eukaryota, Metazoa, Arthropoda, Collembola, Entomobryomorpha, Isotomidae.